AGUCAAAAACGUCAAAAAAGUCAAAAAAGUCAAAAAAGUCAAAAAAGUCAAAAAAGUCAAAAAAGUCAAAAAAGUCAAAAAAGUCAAAAAGGAGACAAAGAAAAAGCAAAAAAGGAGCCAAAGAAAAGGCCAAAAAAAAAAAAAGGCAAAAAGGCAAAAAAAAAAAAAAAAAACAAAAAAGAAAAACAGCAAAUAUGUCAGUGUACUCACUUAUGCAAUUGUACGACUACCUGUAUGUGGUAUUAGACGAAUAUGUCAUAAAGAAUACUAAACGUGUAAAUACAUAUCAAUCUAUAUUUAAAAAUCAAGAGCUAUUAAAUUUUUUAGAAAACAAUUACAAAGAUUAUUAUGAUCCAAGUAUACUAUCCACAAAACCAUCUUAUAAUAAAGACCUAAUUAUAGAUGAGUUAUUAUACACAUUUAAAGUAAUAGGAAUGUAUAUAAGUAACAAUAAUAUAUUUUCAAAAAAUGAACAUAUUGAUGAUAUACAUACAGAAUAUUUAAAAUUUUUACUUUUACCAUACAUUUUAGGUAUAUUAUGUUAUGAAACCGUUAAUAUUAAAAUUAGGUUGGACAGACUUAAACAGGCUAAAUUAUAUUUUAAUGAAUUUAUAGCUGUUUUAAAAAUUUAUGAAAUUAAUUUAAUUGAUGAUUAUUUGUAUGAAGAACAAAAAGAAAGCAACAGUACACUUUCUGCCAUCAAUAGACGUAACAUUAAAAUAAAAAGAGAAAGAGACAUUAUGAAAUUUCAAAAUAUAUAUGAACAAAUUAUUAAAACAAAACUAAAAACGAAAAAUAACAUCAGUAACAACAACAACAACAACAACAACAACAACAACAACAACAACAACAACAAUAGUAGCAAUAACAAACAUAAUGACUUAGACUACGAAAAGGAAGAUGAAAAUAGAGAGUUGUAUUUGUCCCUACUUAAUUUUAAAUGUAUACAAAUAUUAAAUAUGAUAGAUCUAAUAGACACGGAAAUACAAAUAUUACAAUUACGAAAUGAUGAAGAGAAUUAUAAUGAGCAGUUAAAAAACGAUGGAAAAAAUGUUAACUCUCGUACUGGUCUUACUACUAAUACAAAUUUAAGUGAUAUUAAAGCUAUAAAAAAAAAACCGUGGCUAUUUACAAUUAAAAAAAAUAUGCAAAUUUCUGACAUUAACGAAAUGAGAAAUUAUUAUAAAAAGUUAGUUUUUCAACCCGGACAUAAUUUACCUACCGUAUCACUAGAUGAGUGUGCACUAAUUGAGAUGAAAAACGCAGUAAAAGGUGAUAGUAAUAAUAGUGUUAACGUAUAUAAUGAUAACACUACUAUUAUCACUAAUACAGAGGGGGAAGUUUAUGGCAAUGGUUAUAAUAAUAAUAACAGAAAGGAUGAAGAGGAUGAGGACUAUUACAAAAAAUGCAUGUUAGAGGAAAAUGAAAAAACAAAAAAUGAACGAGAAUGGGA
RNAcentral lists this long non-coding RNA (1453 nucleotides) under Piliocolobus tephrosceles (Ugandan red Colobus). Its description in RNAcentral is "lncRNA (ENSPTEG00000017085.1)". Lineage: Eukaryota; Metazoa; Chordata; Mammalia; Primates; Cercopithecidae. The record is from RNAcentral.